CGCGUAGGCGGUUUUGUAAGUAAGAUGUGAAAGCCCUGGGCUUAACCUAGGAACAGCAUUUUAAACUACAGGACUGGAGGUCAGUAGAGGGUGGCGGAAUUUCCGGUGUAGCGGUGAAAUGCGUAGAGAUCGGAAGGAACAUCAGUGGCGAAGGCGGCCACCUGGACUGAGUCUGACGCUGAGGCGCGAGAGCGUGGGGAGCAAACAGGAUUAGAUACCCUGGUAGUCCACGCUGUAAACGAUGAGAACUAGAUGUUGGUCUGCGCGAGCGGAUGAGUAUCGAAGCUAACGCGAUAAGUUCUCCGCCUGGGGAGUACGGCCGCAAGGUUAAA
RNAcentral lists this ribosomal RNA (332 nucleotides) under uncultured bacterium. Its description in RNAcentral is "bacterial SSU rRNA". It matches the Rfam family "Bacterial small subunit ribosomal RNA", at positions 568 to 898 of the family's 1533-position model. The record is from RNAcentral.